Triticum aestivum (bread wheat) is the source of this 2046-nucleotide long non-coding RNA. RefSeq lists it as uncharacterized. The record is from RefSeq and is a predicted model, not a curated record. NCBI's taxonomy places the organism in Eukaryota, Viridiplantae, Streptophyta, Magnoliopsida, Poales, Poaceae. The transcript has 3 exons.
UUUCUUCAAUCUCCUCACGACCCGACCUGGUCGUUCGUCCCCAACCUCUCGUCCAACGCAGGGAACGAACCAGCGCACCACUCACCCCACCUGACUCCUCCCCUCCUUCCCCACGCCUUAAUUCCGCUCUGAACGGAUUCCUCACACCCUCCCUAACUCUUAACCUUCCGUUACCCGCACUAGAACGAGCCCUAAUGGCCAUUAGAGCACCAGAAACAGCAGCUAUAAGUCCGACGACGCCCUGCGUCGUUUCGACCUUCCCUCCAUCCUAUAAAAGGUCCCCUCCCCUCACAACUCUCUCCUUGCCCGAACCCCUCUCCUUCGGGAGCUUAUACCCCUACCCAUCGUCAUAAAUUGCUCACCAGAGUUGCCUGACACUGCUGCUGUUCGUGGAAGGUUCCGGCGAGUUCGAGCCGGAGCACGAGUUCUUCGUUGUCUGAUUUCGGCCGGAGUUGCGCCCAACUCCGGCGACAUCUAGCAGCCACCUAAAGGCGAACCAGGAGCCGACGUCGUGUCCUGGAGACUCACCCCGACUUCCUCUCCCUCGUCCACUUCUCGACCAUUGCCGGAGACCGCCGCGUCGCUUCAUGUCUGAGCCACCGUCACCGGCCAUCUCCAUCUCCGAUUGCGACGAGUGCGAAGCCGAAUUCUACGAGGAGGUAGGACCGUGUUGCUGCGAGUCAGAAGGCAAGUUGCAACCUUGACCAUAUUUAUCCCAUGUUUUUAUCUUGCAUUUUUUUAAAUCAAUUAGCAUGCAUGUGUUGGUUUUAUGUUUCUAUUAUGCAAAUAUUUUACUAGAAGUAAAGCCCUAAAAACCAUUGCUAUUGGACUAUACGCUUAGCCAUGCUUGUAGUUGGGGUGGACCAAAUAUUUUGAAAAUACAAACUUGUUCCCUUGGAACAAUGAUUUAGAAAAAAAAUUGGAAAGCAAAACUAUAUUAGUUUCAACUUCUACUCCCUGGGCGGAAUGGUAUGACGGGAGCGUCUACAAGUGAUUGCGCCCAGCGGGGUCUCGCAGUGAAUGCGCCCGACUGGGGUCUUGCACACAGGUUUUUGGUGGGGACUGCCGUCCAGGGGAAUGAGAUCUUACAAGAACAGUUUGAUGUAGCUUCCAGUACAGCCACAUGCUACUAUGGGAUCUGGCUUAACUUAGUACUAACGGGAAACCCUUACCUCAGGACCUCCAUCGGAGAGGGGCUUUCAUUGCCUAAGUUGCGGGCGGCUUCGUCAGGUAUAGGGGGCUGUUACGGAAAGGCUUCGUCACAAUCUCCUCCUAGUCGUACACCCAAGUGUGUAACGGUAAGCGGGGUUGGUUGUGUCAUGUGGGGAACGUGUACGACCUCUGCAGAGGGUUUAACCUAAUCGAUUAGCCGUGCCCCCGGUUACGGGCAAUUUUGAGCAACUGAAGACUUGGACUGAAGAAGAAUCUCCCCUCUCUUUUCUCAAAUCUAUUUAAAAAAAGGGUUAGGUGGAAGUUAAACAUAGCGGGGUGUUUUACUUCAACCUGUAAAAAAAAUAUUUUUAGUGAACCUUGGUCCGGAUAUCCAAGUAUUCACUAAAACUCUAUGUUUUAAACAAAAAAUGUUUAUCAAAACUUAAUAUCUUUUCUUUUCUUUAUAGUCUAGGGAAAUAUUGGCUUUCUGCAAAUAAACCCUAGACACCCUGUCCAGCAUGACUAUUUGUUAUCAUCUUCGUUGCAACUUGCGAGUACAUUCAAAGUACUUACCUGUACGUGUCAUGUGCAGAUGAUGAGUGACGAGAUAGGGCUACGGAGCUACACUCAACUAGCCUUGUGGCGAUUGAUGCACUCAGGAUUAUUAUUAUGUUAUUUGCUUCCGCUAUGUAACUCAGCCUUCAGUUGAGAGAGUUGUAAUAAAUUGAACUUUGGAUCUUCGAUGUAAUAAAAUGACGUCUGUGCUCGAUAUUCAUAUUUGUACUGGGUGUGCUAGCUUUUGAUCCAGGGAUAGCACAGAAAGCUCAAAAGAUUUGGACCCCAUGGGUUCGGAUCGUUACAAAAUUGUAUCAGAGCCUUACGUUGACUGUAGGA